This 501-nucleotide ribosomal RNA is filed under the name uncultured bacterium. RNAcentral's name for it is "partial 16S ribosomal RNA". It matches the Rfam family "Bacterial small subunit ribosomal RNA", at positions 29 to 523 of the family's 1533-position model. The record is from RNAcentral.
AUUGAACGCUGGCGGCAUGCCUUACACAUGCAAGUCGAACGGCAGCACGGGAGCUUGCUCCUGGUGGCGAGUGGCGAACGGGUGAGUAAUACAUCGGAACGUACCCAGUAGUGGGGGAUAACGCACCGAAAGGUGCGCUAAUACCGCAUACGACCUAAGGGUGAAAGCGGGGGACCGUAAGGCCUCGCGCUAUUGGAGCGGCCGAUGUCUGAUUAGCUAGUUGGCGGGGUAAUAGCCCACCAAGGCGACGAUCAGUAGCUGGUCUGAGAGGACGAUCAGCCACACUGGGACUGAGACACGGCCCAGACUCCUACGGGAGGCAGCAGUGGGGAAUUUUGGACAAUGGGGGCAACCCUGAUCCAGCAAUGCCGCGUGUGCGAAGAAGGCCUUCGGGUUGUAAAGCUCUUUUGUCAGGGAAGAAACACCGGCUCUAACACAGUCCGGGAAUGACGGUACCUGAAGAAUAAGCACCGGCUAACUACGUGCCAGCCGCCGCCGUAA